This 478-nucleotide ribosomal RNA is filed under the name uncultured bacterium. Its description in RNAcentral is "partial 16S ribosomal RNA". It matches the Rfam family "Bacterial small subunit ribosomal RNA", at positions 28 to 523 of the family's 1533-position model. The record is from RNAcentral.
GACGAACGCUGGCGGCGUGCUUAACACAUGCAAGUCGAACGGUAAGGCCCUUCGGGGUACACGAGUGGCGAACGGGUGAGUAACACGUGGGUGAUCUGCCCUGCACUUCGGGAUAAGCCUGGGAAACUGGGUCUACUACCGGAUAGGACCACUGCCUGCAUGGGCGGUGGUGGAAAGCUUUUGCGGUGUGGGAUGGGCCCGCGGCCUAUCAGCUUGUUGGUGGGGUGAUGGCCUACCAAGGCGACGACGGGUAGCCGGCCUGAGAGAGUGACCGGCCACACUGGGACUGAGAUACGGCCCAGACUCCUACGGGAGGCAGCAGUGGGGAAUAUUGCACAAUGGGCGCAAGCCUGAUGCAGCGACGCCGCGUGAGGGAUGACGGCCUUCGGGUUGUAAACCUCUUUCAGCACCGACGAAGCGCAAGUGACGGUAGGUGCAGAAGAAGGACCGGCCAACUACGUGCCAGCAGCCGCCGUAA